RNAcentral lists this ribosomal RNA (837 nucleotides) under Triticum aestivum (bread wheat). RNAcentral's name for it is "partial small subunit ribosomal RNA". Lineage: Eukaryota; Viridiplantae; Streptophyta; Magnoliopsida; Poales; Poaceae. The record is from RNAcentral.
AUGAAGCAGAGUGGUACCGCCAAGCUACUGAGGAUGGCCUCAUUGAUACUAUGGGACGAGGCCACCAUGACUAAGCGACAGGCGGUCGAGGCACUGGACAACAGCAUGCGCGACAUCAUGGGAAGACGGGACCGACCCUUUGAAGGAAAAACUGUUGUGUUUGGCGGGGACUUCAGGCAGGUGCUUCCGGUCAUCGGGAGGGGGUCCCGGGGUCAGAUAAUUGAUGCAACCCUCCGAAGUUCACAUCUCUGGAAGGGUAUGCGCCAGCUAAGGCUCGUCACCAACAUGAGGGCUCAUAAUGACACCUGGUUUACGGAUUACUUGCUAAGGGUAGGCAAUGGCACUGAGGAAGUUGACGAUCAAGGAAACAUACGACUCCCUGAAGAUAUUUGUGUGCCAUCUACAGGCGAGGGUGACGACCUAGAGAAGCUGAUUGACCAUGUGUUUCCGAGACUAGAUGACAACAUGUCCGAUCCGAAUUACAUGACUUCACGCGCAAUCCUCUCCACCACAAAUGACAACGUCGACAAGAUAAACAUACGCAUGGUAGAGCGUUUUCGGGGAGAAGAAGUAAUAUACCAUAGCUUUGACAGUGCAGAAGACGACCCAUAUGGCUACUACGCUCCCGAGUUCCUGAAUGGGUUGACUCCCAACGGUCUGCCUCCGCAUGCACUCAAACUGAAGCUCAACUGCCCUGUCAUACUUCUAAGGAACAUUGACCCGGCUAAUGGUCUGUGUAACGGGACGAGGCUUGUGGUCCGAGGUUUCGAGAGGAACGCCAUCGACGCAGAAAUCGUGAUCGGACAACACGUAGGUAGGAGGGUAUUCCUUCCUUGA